AUGAGGGGUGUAAUCAAAUUCCUAGUCAAUAUGUGUUGCAUAGGUGGACUAAAAUGGUUGCAUAGGUGGACUAAAAUGGUUGCACGUCAGCUUCCGUAUGACGCCAAUGGGCAUGAGCUAGAAAGCCCAUCUACAUGUCUUUCACCUACCAUAAAAAAGUUGUACUCGGAAACAUGUUCAAAAUUUAGCUUGGCUCUUCAUGUAGCGAAACAUUGUGAGGACAAAAUGAGAUGUUUUCACAAGGUUCUUGCUGAUGCCUUCACGCAAUUGGGACAGAAGGGUGCCAUUAGUGAGCAAAGUAAAGUUCAAGAAUUUGAAUCCUUUGUUGGAACAUCAUUCCCAAGUGUGAUCGAUAUUCAUCCACCAGAUGUAGCGAACACAAAAGAGAGCGGUAAGAAAUUGAAAAGGGGUUCAGAACAGACUGUGAACCAAAAGAAAAAGAGGGCAAAUAACAUCCAAAAGGUCCUAGAUAAGUAG
This 477-nucleotide ribosomal RNA is filed under the name Triticum aestivum (bread wheat). RNAcentral describes it as "partial small subunit ribosomal RNA". The record is from RNAcentral. Lineage: Eukaryota; Viridiplantae; Streptophyta; Magnoliopsida; Poales; Poaceae.